CUUGGGCAGGCCCAACUUGAGGCAGGCCAUCGCGCCCUCACGCGCGCGCAUCCAGUUGGCGUUGCCGCGCAGCGUGUUGAUCUCGCCGUUGUGGCCCAGGUUGCGCAUGGGCUGCGCGCGGGCCCAGCUGGGGAACGUGUUGGUGGAGAAGCGCGAGUGCACCAGCGCCAUAUAGGAGCGGAAGUCCUCGCGCUGGAGGUCCUUGAAGUACACGCGGACCUGUGCGGAUUACCAUAUGCACGUGUUCGUUCAGUGAGAGGCGCGGGGCAAGGAACCCUAUGGUUCAGUCAAGCUCCGCUGGAGGGACAAGCGCACCUGCUCCGGCGUCAGCUGGCCCUUGUACACGAUCGUCUUGGACGACAGCGAGCAGAAGUAGGCAUCGUCGUCCUUGAUGCCAUCGGCGCGCAGCGCGUACUCGAUUUGCUUGCGCAGCAGGUACAGCUGCGGGAGGGACAGGACGAUAAGGGGGCGGGCAUGGUGUUGCUGUGAGAGGCACUCGCGUAACAUGCGGGGCUCAUGUGCGGUAAGAUCCCCAAGUGAACGGAAGGAGGAGAGUGACUGCCCACCUGCUGCUCAACCUCCAGAGAGGAGCGGUUGCCGGUGCUGGUGAUGAACCACUGCUCGAUGGCCGGCUCCGUGUCCACCGCCGACUUGCCCAGCGAGCGGUUGUUGGUGGGCACGGGGCGCCAGGUGAGGCUCACGUGGCCCAGCGAGGUGGCGACGCGGUCGCAGAUGUCCUUGACCUUCUGGCGCACCUCCUCGUCCUGGGGCAGGAACACCUGGCCCGCCGCGUACGCCCCCAGAGGCGGCAGCU
RNAcentral lists this long non-coding RNA (814 nucleotides) under Chlamydomonas reinhardtii. Its description in RNAcentral is "long non-coding RNA (CREI_LNC001110)". The record is from RNAcentral. Lineage: Eukaryota; Viridiplantae; Chlorophyta; Chlorophyceae; Chlamydomonadales; Chlamydomonadaceae.